GUGGGUAGUUUGACUGGGGCGGUCUCCUCCUAAAGCGUAACGGAGGAGCACGAAGGUUGGCUAAUCCUGGUCGGACAUCAGGAGGUUAGUGCAAUGGCAUAAGCCAGCUUGACUGCGAGCGUGACGGCGCGAGCAGGUGCGAAAGCAGGUCAUAGUGAUCCGGUGGUUCUGAAUGGAAGGGCCAUCGCUCAACGGAUAAAAGGUACUCCGGGGAUAACAGGCUGAUACCGCCCAAGAGUUCAUAUCGACGGCGGUGUUUGGCACCUCGAUGUCGGCUCAUCACAUCCUGGGGCUGAAGUAGGUCCCAAGGGUAUGGCUGUUCGCCAUUUAAAGUGGUACGCGAGCUGGGUUUAGAACGUCGUGAGACAGUUCGGUCCCUAUCUGCCGUGGGCGCUGGAGAACUGAGGGGGGCUGCUCCUAGUACGAGAGGACCGGAGUGGACGCAUCACUGGUGUUCGGGUUGUCAUGCCAAUGGCACUGCCCGGUAGCUAAAUGCGGAAGAGAUAAGUGCUGAAAGCAUCUAAGCACGAAACUUGCCCCGAGAUGAGUUCUCCCUGAGACUACAAGUCUCCUGAAGGAACGUUGAAGACGACGACGUUGAUAGGCCGGGUGUGUAAGCGCAGCGAUGCGUUGAGCUAACCGGUACUAAUGAACCGUGAGG
This 661-nucleotide ribosomal RNA is filed under the name Salmonella enterica. RNAcentral's name for it is "partial 23S ribosomal RNA". It matches the Rfam family "Bacterial large subunit ribosomal RNA", at positions 2261 to 2916 of the family's 2925-position model. The record is from RNAcentral. Lineage: Bacteria; Pseudomonadati; Pseudomonadota; Gammaproteobacteria; Enterobacterales; Enterobacteriaceae.